AGUGGCGACCGGGUGAGUAACACGUGACUAACCUACCUUCGAGUGGGGGAUAACCUCGGGAAACCGGGGCUAAUACCGCAUAACAUCUUUGGAGUGGAAAUUCCGGAGAUCAAAGGAGCAAUUCGCUGGAAGAGGGGGUCGCGGCUGAUUAGCUAGUUGGCGGGGUAACGGCCCACCAAGGCUUAGAUCGGUAGCCGGCCUGAGAGGGCGCACGGCCACACUGGAACUGAAACACGGUCCAGACUCCUACGGGAGGCAGCAGUGGGGAAUUUUGCGCAAUGGGGGAAACCCUGACGCAGCAACGCCGCGAGGAGGAUGAAGUCCCUUGGGACGUAAACUCCUAUCGACCCGGACGAUAAUGACGGUACGGGUGGAAGAAGCCCCGGCUAACUUCGUGCCAGCAGCCGCGGUAAUACGAGGGGGGCAAGCGUUGUUCGGAAUUAUUGGGCGUAAAGGGCGCGUAGGCGGUGCGGUAAGUCACCUGUGAAACCUCUAGGCUCAACCUAGAGCCUGCAGGCGA
RNAcentral lists this ribosomal RNA (520 nucleotides) under uncultured bacterium. RNAcentral describes it as "bacterial SSU rRNA". It matches the Rfam family "Bacterial small subunit ribosomal RNA", at positions 94 to 630 of the family's 1533-position model. The record is from RNAcentral.